Molecule: unclassified non-coding RNA, 231 nt
Filed under: Hevea brasiliensis (rubber tree)
Lineage: Eukaryota; Viridiplantae; Streptophyta; Magnoliopsida; Malpighiales; Euphorbiaceae
Source: RNAcentral
GUAAGCACACAAGUGCCAUUAUCCCAAGUUGGCCCACAGUCUAGAUUUGAAGAUAGGAUACAAUAUUUUGUUCCAAAGCAGACAAAAAUACCUUUUAAUUUUGUACUAUAUGGUCAUUUUUUGGGUCUCCAGUUUAGGUUCCUGAUUUAUCCAGGCAACACUGAGUCCAAGGUUAAGUGAGGUCUGGGCUUAUUAAUUUUCCAAAAAAAAAAAAUCAUUUUAUUGCAAACU